This 862-nucleotide ribosomal RNA is filed under the name uncultured bacterium. Its description in RNAcentral is "bacterial SSU rRNA". It matches the Rfam family "Bacterial small subunit ribosomal RNA", at positions 99 to 946 of the family's 1533-position model. The record is from RNAcentral.
CGGACGGGUGAGUAACGCGUAGGUAACCUGCCCUGGAGAGGAGGAUAACUCUGCGAAAGCGGAGCUAAUCCUCCAUAUGUUAGGGCAUCGUAAGAUGCCUUAAUGAAAGGCGGCAUUAAGCCGUCGUUGCAGGAUGGGCCUGCGUCGGAUUAGCUAGCUGGUAGGGUAAAGGCCUACCAGGGCGACAAUCCGUAGCUGGUCUGAGAGGACGAUCAGCCACACUGGGACUGAGACACGGCCCAGACUCCUACGGGAGGCAGCAGUGGGGAAUCUUCCGCAAUGGGCGCAAGCCUGACGGAGCGACGCCGCGUGAGUGAAGAAGGCCUUCGGGUCGUAAAGCUCUGUCAGUGGGGAAGAAGGCAGUCAUCAAGAAAAGGGUGACUGUUGACGGUACCCGCAAAGGAAGCCCUGGCCAACUACGUGCCAGCAGCCGCGGUAACACGUAGAGGGCAAGCGUUGUCCGGAAUUACUGGGCGUAAAGGGCGCGCAGGCGGCAAGGCAAGUCGGGUGUGAAAACCUGGGGCUUAACCCCAGGCGUGCAUUCGAAACUGUCUUGCUUGAGGACAGCAGAGGGAAACGGAAUUCCUGGUGUAGUGGUGAAAUACGUAGAUAUCAGGAGGAACACCAGUGGCGAAAGCGGUUUCCUGGGCUGAUCCUGACGCUGAGGCGCGAAAGCCGGGGGAGCGAACGGGAUUAGAUACCCCGGUAGUCCCGGCUGUAAACGCUGGACACUAGGUGUUGGGGGUUAAACUCCCUCAGUGCCGCAGUUAACGCAAUAAGUGUCCCGCCUGGGAAUUACGGUCGCAAGACUGAAACUCAAAGGAAUUGACGGGGGCCCGCACAAGCGGUGGAGCAUGUGGCU